This 700-nucleotide ribosomal RNA is filed under the name uncultured bacterium. RNAcentral's name for it is "partial 16S ribosomal RNA". It matches the Rfam family "Bacterial small subunit ribosomal RNA", at positions 93 to 783 of the family's 1533-position model. The record is from RNAcentral.
GAGUGGCGAACGGGUGAGUAAUACAUAAGCAACCUGCCCCUAUGCCUGGGAUAACUGUUGGAAACGACAGCUAAUACCGGAUAGGUUCAUUGAUGACAUCGUUAAUGAAUUAAAGUUGGGCAACAACACAAAGGGAUGGGCUUAUGGCGCAUUAGCUAGUUGGCGGGGUAACGGCCCACCAAGGCAUUGAUGCGUAGCCGACCUGAGAGGGUGACCGGCCACACUGGGACUGAGACACGGCCCAGACUCCUACGGGAGGCAGCAGUAGGGAAUUUUCGGCAAUGGGCGCAAGCCUGACCGAGCAACGCCGCGUGAACGAAGAAGGUUUUCGGAUCGUAAAGUUCUGUUGUAAGGGAAGAACGAGCAAAACAGGGAAUGGUUUUGAAGUGACGGUACCUUACCAGCAAGUCACGGCUAACUACGUGCCAGCAGCCGCGGUAAUACGUAGGUGGCAAGCGUUAUCCGGAAUUAUUGGGCGUAAAGGGUGCGCAGGCGGUUGAUUAAGUUUAAGGUGAAAGUUCGGGGCUCAACCCCGUGAUGCCUUAGAAACUGGUCGACUCGAGUGCAGGAGAGGUGAGUGGAAUUCCAUGUGUAGCGGUAAAAUGCGUAGAGAUAUGGAGGAACACCAGUGGCGAAAGCGGCUCACUGGCCUGUAACUGACGCUGAGGCACGAAAGCGUGGGGAGCAAAUAGGAUUAGAU